UUAUACUCAUUUUUUUUUGAAUUUUUUUUCUAUUAAUUAAAUUAACUAAAUUGGUAUUAUAUAUUCUUAAUUUUUGUUUUUUAUCAGCAAAUAUUAAUUAUUAAUUUUAUUAGUUUUUUUUAGUAAAAAAAAUUUGAAUCUAUAACCUCUCUUUUUCCUUCUUCCUUUAUCUAUCAAAUCAACCUUAUAAUUAUUUGGUAUUCUUAAUUUUUGUUUAUAUGUAGAAUGUGACAUUGCACGGGCAAUGCAAAGUUUUCAGGGGUAAUAGCAAUGGUCCCUCUGAGUUGCUCUUUUCGGUGAAGAGAUCGUCAAUAAUCCCGAGUGGGAAGAUGAUUAGAUUAGAUGUCUUCCUUGAAAACAAGAGAAAAGGAAGCAUGUGUGAUUUUAGAGUCAUCGUUCGUGGAAGUAAAAAUUCAUGCACUAUUUAUGCCGGUGAAUCUCCAACUAUUGUUGCCAAGGUGUGUAUUGCAUGUGUUCUGGGCAUGUUUUUAUAUACACAUUAAUUUAAUUACCUAUCUAGUAUGGGUUUGGAUAAUUGCUGAUAUAAAGUGAUGUGUAAUUUAUAUUUAAAUAUUUUUAUGAUAAAAUUAAGUUAAGAGUAAAAUUUAGUAUAAUUUUUUUAUCCUAGUUAGAAUUGCUUAACUCAGGAUCAAUUUUAGAUCCAAAAUCGAUUAUGAAUCUUUUUUAACAUAAAAUCAAACAUAUAAUUUUUGUUCUAAAAUCAAUUAUGAACUUGAAAAUAAUUCUUUUUUUUUUUUUUGCUUUUAACUCAUAAUCAAUUCUAACAUGAAACAAAGCACACAUACUUUUUUCUUGAUAAUUAUCGGAAACCUUGAGCACACACAAAAUGAACAUUUCCCUUUUAAUACGAUUUAUAACCUAAGGACAAAUUAUAAUUCGAACCCUAAACCACUUUUAUUGUGCCAAACUCUUAUUGAUCCAAACACAUAAUUAAUACAACUGAAUGGAUAUAAUGACUACAUUUUAUCGCCCUCUUUCAUGUAGAUGGAGAAUAAUGGAGGCUUCAAAGUCUUGGUCUAUCCCAACGUGGACUACGCAUUCAUAGUGACACUACUUAUGAUUAUUGAUGACAUCAAAGAUUAUGAUGUGUUGGUAAAUGCGACGGUGAGUAGUGUCCUAACUGUGGCGACGGGGGGUAUCUUACCUAUUCUGACAUUGUUUGAGGGAGAAAAUUUAGAAGAAGAAACCUUAGAUGGAGAAAACUUAGAAGAAGAAUACUUACAAGAAGGAGAAAACAACUCAGGUGGAGAAAACUUAGAUGGAGAAAACAACCCAGAAGGAGAAAAUUUAGAAGAAGAAACCUUAGAUGGAGAAAACUUAGAAGAAGAAUACUUACAAGAAGGAGAAAACAACUCAGGUGCAGAAAACUUAGAUGGAGAAAACAAUCCAAAAGGAGAAAAUUUAGAUGGAGAAAACAACCCAGAAGGAGAAAAUUUAAAUGGAGAAAACUUAGAAGUAGAAAACAACUUCGAAGCUGAAACUUAGACGCAGCUUCGUAAGUGAGUGCUUGUGGUAUUGUUCUCUAAUUGGCAUUAAUGUUUAUGUAGUUUCAUGUCAAUAAUAAUCUGCAUAAUAAAGGUUUUCAUUAAAUGUAAAUGCAGAUUAGUCAGCUGGUUAAAUUCUUAUUAUGUCGUCGAAGUUUUAUUGUUGUAUAUGAAACAAAUUAAAAUUAAAUCUUGGGCAUGAUUUUGGUUAGAACAGGUUGUAUCUUUUCAUUUUAGUGCAUGAAUAAAAUUGAGAAGAUAUUGUAAAUAAAAAAAGAUGUAAUAUUUUUCGUAGUUUUUUUAUAAAAAAAAUUGAGUAAUGAUAUUGGAACACUAUUAUUUUGAAUAUUUAUCAACACUUGUCAUUUUUUUUAUCUUUUUCUUUCUACCACGUCAAAUCACUAAUGCGUAUAAUAUGAAUGGACAAAAACAAAUAUAUCUUACAUAAUAUAGUAUCGAAGAUUAAGAGUCCGGAUAUCGAAUGCACGUGACAAAUUGUGUUCUUAAAAUAAUAUAUUUUAUUUUGCAACUAAGUAAUUGAGGAAAGAAAUUAAAUUAAGAUGGAUUGAUGGUCAAUUAUCUAAUGCAAGAUCAAAUCUAAACGAGUAAGAUAGUAUCGAGUAAGAUAGUAUGAAAGAGAAGAUGAUUUCAGGCAUACCAAUUCCACCAAUACUAAUUCUAACAAGAUUCUUACGAUUGUUAAUUGUCGAUUUUCUAAAGUCAAUUAUUAGUCAUUGAUUGUAGUCUAAUAAUGGUCAAUUAUUAGUCAUUGAUUGUGGUCAAUUAUUAAUCAAUUUCCUAAUUAACCUACUAGAGGUUAUCCAACCAGUUUGGCAUGCAGUUUGAUAUAAAACACUUUUUUUCCUAAUUCUACCAAUUACAUGUAAAUGAUUACUGUUAAGCAAUCAAUUAUGUAUUAGUACAUCCGUUUCCACCAACCAAUUUGGUCAUGUAGUUUGGUAUAAAACACUUUCUUCCUAAUUCUACCAUUAAAUGCAAAUGAUUACUAUUAUGCAAUCAAUUAUGUAUUAGAACAUCCAUUUCCAAAAUAGAAAUUAAAAGUAAAGAAGAUAAUCAAUUAACUAAAUGACAUCGAGAAUUUCAUUAAAAUUAAGAAAGGAGUUCAAACUAGGUUACAUCAUAAUAAUCGAACUAGGAAGACUAGUCGCUCAUUGUACACACUAUUACAAAAAAAACUUUUUUAACGUGUCUUACUUGGCAUCUUGCUUGCAUGAGUAAGUACAAGUGUACAAUCUGUUUUAAAUUAUGUGUGUAUUGGUUUGUUCUAAUGGAUUGGUUUGUUCGAGAAAUAGAUCAAAACAACUAGAAAGAUCAUGCAUCAAAGACAGAAAAUGGUGGUGAGUCUAGGAGGAUUUCUAGGUCUUUUAUACAAUGAUGUCAAUGUGACAUGUGAGCAUUUUCAUGGGAGAAAGAUAGAGAGAAAAAGAGAGAGGUAGGGGUGACAUGGAUGAAGUUACCAUUACCAAACAAUUUAAUAUCAUUUUAUUCCUCAAAUUAGUCACUUUAGUUCUUGAAAAAAAAAGUGUUAUGGUUACUAUAAAUUAUAAAAAAACACCCCUAAAAUCUUCAUUUUUGACUCUUAUUAUGUAGAUAAUGAACAACAUCUUAUUUUACUAACAAAGUUUGUAGAUGGCUAACAGUAGGGAUUAACUUGGAUAACAUAAUUCAAUGUCAAAGAUUUAUUUUUCAUGUAUCUAAUUUUAGGAACUAAUAUUUUUUUAUUGGUAAGAAUUGAGCAUGGUAUUAAAGAAUUUACAAUACUCACACAUCUUACUCAACCAAUUAAGUUAGACCCCUUAAUAUUUUAGGAACUAUACCCCCACAAUUUUAGAGACUAAAAUGAUGAUUUGAUCCUUUUUAUUUUUUGUCGAAGAUGAAGAAAAAAGGAAGAAAAAAAGAUUCAGAUUUUUUUUUAAAUAUCUUUAUAUCUAUUCAUAACUUUUAAUCUUAAAUAAGAAUAUGAUGCGUUCUUUGUUAGUAAGAAGCAACAAAGGAAUAAGAAUAACAAAAAAGCACAUGAUAGGAAAUGAGAGCAAGCUCUCCAAGUCAGAGAAUAUCCUCUAGACUCCAAAUUUCAUUCAAAUCCCUCGUACCCCUUACAAUGACCGCCUUCCUUACAUAUAACUGAAUUCCCCUCUCCAUUGAUUUUCUCCUCUAACAAACUUAUUCCCCCUCUCACAAAAGUCUACUGCUAAAUAGACAAAUUUUCCCUCUUGGGCCUGAUGGCAUAUACUUUAUCAAAUCUACUCUUGGACUUAAGUAUUUUGAGUUGCAAAAUAAUUUUAUAGGAUUUAAGUAUUUUGAGUUGUAAAAUAAUUUUAUAUUUUAUGAAUACUGUGACUUAUUAAAUAAGUUAUGAGAUUAUAUUUUAUUAUGAAUGAGUUACUUAAAUUGCUUAAAGGUUUAUGACUUAUCUUUUUUUGUUUAUCCGAUAAUACAAUUUUUAAGUUUGAGGAUUUUAUUUUAUGGGAUUAUAUUUUAUUGUGAGUAUAUGUAUAAUAUUGAUUUUAAAAAAAUGUCCCUUACUAAUUUUUAAGUUUGAGGAUUUUUUUUUCAAAACUUAAAGAUGUGUUAAUUUUUUAAGGGUCCAAUUCUAUAACCAACCCAAUCCAAUCUUAUAUAUAAAAGUUAGAUUAGAUUAGAUUGAGUUGUAAAAAAAAAAGGUAAGCUCAAUCUAACCCAACCCAAUUAAAUUUAAUUAGAUUAGGUUGAAAAGGAAAUAAAACUUAACUCAAUCCAGCUCCUAAUCUAAAAUAUACAUACUAUGCCAACCUUCUUGGUAUUGGAUAGAAAUUUCACUAUUAAUUAAUAAUGUUGUAUUGUCUGCCAUAUUUUAGGUUCUAUAUUUGGUUUAAAGGUGGGAGGAAAAUAAUUUUAAUGAAAGAGGGAGAAGAAAAGAGAGGUGAUUACACAUUUUGUUUGGUUUAGAGAAAAAUAGAGAUUUUAAUAGAAUGAGAGAAAAUAAUCAUUUUCUUGUUUGGUUCAUAACUAGAGAAGGAAUUUUGAAAAUUAAUUUCCUUGCAUGUUUAUAUAAUUUUAUUUUCCAAAACAUAAGUAGAGAUAUUUUAGUUAAUACUCAUCAAAUAUGUUUUAAAUGUUUUUAUUUUUUUCUCCCAAAAAUUAAACCAUUAUAAAAUUUUAUAAAAAUAUAUCCCUACAUCCCUCUUCCACCAUUUUCUUUUAACCAAACACUAUAUAUGUUAGAGUGAAUUAAUUAGAAAGAGAAAAAAAAAACAAAAAGAAAGAAAGUAAUAAAUAUGAUAUAUAAUGUGACUAACAAGUUGAUCCGGUCAAGGUAAAAACAACUCAAAUUUAUUAAUAUAUUUUAAAAUAAUCUCAUUUUGGUAAUUAGUUUAUAAUUUCCCUUCUCAUCUUUCUCUCUUUUUUUUCCUACUUUGAAAGUAAUAAAUGUAAUACAAAUUAAAUAAACACAUUCUAUUUGGAUAAUUAAAAAAAGUACAUAUCUAAAAUAUACUAUGCCAACCUUCAUGGUAACCUAUAAAAAGUGUUUGGAUAAGAUUAUUUUUCCAAAAUCAAAUUCAGUUUCAGUCAAAACAAAAAAUAAUUAUUUCUACUUUUUCAUCAUAAUUUUGAGAACUUAAAUUGAUUCCAGUAGUUAUCCAAACACACCAAUAUAGGGUGGAUUCAAAAUGAAAGAAUAGAAGAAAAUAAAAGAUAGAAAAAGAAUAGUGUAAAUAUGAUAAAUGAUGUAACUAGUGAAUUGAUCCGGUCAAUGGUAAAAAGCAUCUAAAUCUCAUAAUAUAUCACAUUUUAGUCAUUAGUUUCUUAGAGUGUCCUGUUUUGGUGAACCAUUCCUUAGUAAAAUUACUCUUACCUUAAAGGACUUGCAUGUGUGUGUGUAUAUAUAUAUAUAUAUAUAUAUAUAUUAACUUUUGCAAAACUUUUGAGUGUAAGAGGAUUGUUCAUUCAUUUAUUACUCUAGGUGAAACCUUAUUUGAGUGUCGAAGUGCAUUUUGCACCCAUCCUUCAAAAGAAGAACCCGCUAAGCACACUAAAGCGAGAUACAUCAAAGUGAAAGAUAUAGCAAGGAGAAAGGCAUCUGGGCACUUCAAGCAUGAACAUCAGGUAUGAAAAAAUUUUCUCUCCUACCAAACAUCCUAUAGUUAAUGGAUAUUCUCUCCUCCCUAAUCCCCUUUCUACAUUAUCUUCUCAUUCAUUUCCUUCUUUUGCUAAUUUUCUUCCUACUAAAUGCUACCUUUUAAUUACUUUUCAAAUUUAUCCGAUGAAUUAAGAUAAACAUAUUUUUUAAAUUGAAUAACAAUUGUAAUAUUUGUGUGUGAAAACAAUUGUAAUUUUUUUAUUAUUCCAGUUAUGGGAGCCAAUUGUUAAACCACUAUUUAAUAUUCAUGAGGAUAAAAAUAUCAAACAAUUAAUGAUUUGUUUCAAGUGGCCUUAAACCGACAGUAUGCCAGAGGACUUGUUUUCUUGAGUAUAGGUUCAUGGACAUUUAAUUAUGGUGAUGAUGAUACACUCGAUUUUUCACUAUUUAAAACUGUAAGUUGAUCUAUCCACUUGAUGAUAACGAAACCUUUAAACUAUGUAUUCUUAAUUGAAAAUAAUAAAGUCUUCAUCAUUGCCAGCGGAUGCACAAGCUACACAUAAAAAUUAGGCUUAAUAUAUUUUAACUUUUUAAUUUCUAAUUUGAUGUAUUUUAUCUUUAACUUUUAAAAAAAAUUCUGAAUUUUACUUUAUAAAUUACUGGUCAGUAAAAUACAACGAAGGCCUUAGAUCCAUGUUGAAAGAAUGGCAAUCGGAGAGUGGAGGCAUAAUCUACUACUCCUACUUUGACACUUUUGCCUGCCAUCAACGACCUUAUUCAGACUCCAGCUUCUUAUGGUACCAUUUUAUACGUACAAUAACAUAUCCAAAUAUUAUUUUCUUUCUUAAUUCUUUUCAUUUCUUUAUUAAAAUUAAGAAACUUUCCUUUCUCUUUUAUUUUUUAUUCUAAUUCAAAUAACUUUAAAAUUUAUUAUCUUUCUUCUCUUUUAUUUCUUUCCUCUACCAAAAGAUGUUUAUUAGUUUUGUUUUGAGUAAAUGACCAUUUUAUUUUCUAAAUUUGUAUUUUGUUAUGGUUUUAGUACUUAAAAUCAAGAAAAAUUCAAAUAAGUUCACGAACAUUUUUAGUGUUUCACUUAAAUCUCUGAAAGUAACUUUUUUUCUUUUUCUUAUUUUGGUUCCUAAACUCAUGUUGUUAUUAUUACCUAAGUCCUCGUACUAGGGGUCAAAAUGAAAAAAGAAAAGAUGUUAGGUUAAGAGACUUAUUUGGUGAGAUACAAAUUUAGGAAAUGAAUUGGCUAUUUACUCUUUUGUUUUUAUAAAGUUGAUUUCUAAUUAAAAUAAGUUUAAAUCACUUUUCAGGAUUUAGUGAGCCAGAGCUCCCAGCCUGCCAUUGUCAAACCUUUGUCCUAACAGAGACAAGAUCACAUCUUCUUUGACCAAUUCCAUCCUACGGAGGCGUUGCUCGUUUGUUUGUUAUUUGUUAAUAAACUUUUUUAUGGCCCUUCAAGUUACACAUUGUAGAAAAUAAUAUUAUAAAAUGUAACAAUUUUAUUAUAUAUAACCCAUUGAUGGCCCUUCAUAUUUAUCCAAUAGCUUAUCUCUAACUUUGAACAUUAACAUUGCAAUCGCGCUUCUGUUUUUAUUUUUUUUAAUUUUGAAAUUUGUAAAAAAAUCUUUCAUUCUCUUUUCACUGCUAAUUUUCUUCCUACUAAAUGCUACCUUUUAAUUACUUUUCAAAUUUAUCCAACGAAUUAAGAUAAACAUAUUUUUUAAAUUGAAUAACUAUUGUAAUUUUUGUUGUUGUUGAAAACAAUUAUUGUUUUUUAUUACUCCAGUUAUGGGAGCCAAUUUUAAACCACUAUUUAAUAUUCAUGAGGAUAAAAGUAUCAAUCUACAAUUAAUGAUUUGUUUCAAGUGGCCUUAAUCCGACAGUAUUUGGAGGACUUGUUUUUUUUAGUAUAGGUUCAUGGACAUUUAAUUAUGGUGAUGAUGAUAGUACCAUGAUAUACUCGAUCGUUUACUAUUUAAAACAGUAAGUUGAUCUAGUCUCUACUUGAUGAUAACAAAACCUUUUAACAAUGUAUUCUUAAUUGAAAAUAAUAAAGUCCUCAUCAUUGCCAGCUGAUGCAUAAGCUAUCCAUAAAAAUUAGGUUUAAUUGUAUAAUUUUUUUAAUUUUUGAUGAAUUUUAUUUUUAACUUUUUAAUUUGACAUAUUUUACCUCUAAUUUUUAAGAAGCUUGUGAAAUUUAUCCUUCCCAUUUAUCUAUUAAAAAGCAUAAUAAUUGAUGGUAAAAUUUGUCAAAAAAAUAAAUAGUUCAAGAGUAAAAUUCGUAAAGAAUAAUAAGUCAGGGAUAAAAAGUACAAUUAUAUUAAUAGUUAAAUGAUGGGAGUAAAAUUCACAAGAUUCUUAAAAUUUGGGAUAAAGUAUAUCAAAUUAAAAAAAUUAAGGUAAAAUUCACCAAAAAUUUAAGAAAUUAAGGAUAAAAAAUACAAUUACGCCUAAAAAUUAUCAUUUUGUCUACCCCAAUGUUUUUUUUAUUUCAGCUUAAUUUAAGAAAUUAAGGAUAAAAAAUACAAUUACGCUUCAAAGAUAUUUACAAUCUUUCUAGUUAACGUUUUACAAAGAGUACUGUGUUUAAUUCAUGGUGGGAAUAAUGAAAAUUGAUUUUGAUUUGAUUUAAACACGAUUUUAUCAAAAUAUAAAUGCUUGGUUAUUGUUAGCUAAAGUUAUUUUGCUUUAUAAGAAGUGAUAAAAAGUAACUUUUAUGUUGAGUUAAAGAAGCAAUCUCGCUUUCAAGAUAAAAGCAUACAAACCCUUGUCGAUUUAAAAUAAAAUUUAAUAUUAUUUUCUUAUUUAUUUUGGUCAAAUAAUUUUUAAAAUUUAUUUAUCUGUUCCACAAUUAGCCUAUGAAACCGUUUUGUCUACGCAUAAUUAGACUUCUAAUAAACCCAAACAUAUUUUCAAAGACCAAAUCUGUAAAAGUAAGAAAAAAAUCAAUUAUUUCCUUAGAUAAAAAUUGAGAACAACUUGGCUAGUUUAAUCAAAUUUCAUUUCCCCACAUUUUGACAAAGUCAUAAGCUAGCUAGCUAAACGAACUACGACUUUUCUCACUGUGUACGUUUUCCAUGCCAAGUCUUCGGAAUCUUGGGCUCUGCAAGUUGAUGGUCAACUAGGCAGUUUUGCCAUUGGGUAAGUGGACCUAUUUAUAAAGGAUGGUCAAUUGAGCAAUUAAUUGAUUAACAUAUGUACCUAACAUAUGUCUAAGAUGCUUAUGUCUUUAACCAAGUACUAGUAGUUUAGAAUUUAAAUUUUAAUUAAUUAUUAGGUAUAAAAUAAAUUAUAUUAAAAAAAAACCUAUUUUACAUGUGUUCAAGAUUUCUAACGAAAAUUUAUUUUUAUUUUCAAUGAAAACAAUUUUAUAAUUAUAAAAAAUAAAACAUACGUGACCAAACACACAAUGUGUGUACAUAACAUAUGCUCUAUAAAUUAGCCUUUACUCCAAAAGACUAUCUCAUACCACAACACAUGUUUCCAAUGGCAAAUAAGUUCUCAGUUAUCAGCCCUUCCUAUUGUGUUCCUAACUCUCUUAACCUACAAAUUAACACAGAGAAAGGUGUUACUUACAACGUAAAGGGUAACCGUGUAUUUUACAUAAAAGAUACUUUGUUCACAUUUCACGGUCGUCGCGUGUUAUGUGAUGAUAAAGGAAGUCCCAUCGUCACUCUAUACAAGAAGGUUUGUUACUGAUCGAGGAGGCAUCUUAUACUCAUUUUUUUUUGAAUUUUUUUUCUAUUAAUUAAAUUAACUAAAUUGGUAUUAUAUAUUCUUAAUUUUUGUUUUUUAUCAGCAAAUAUUAAUUAUUAAUUUUAUUAGUUUUUUUUAGUAAAAAAAAAAUUGAAUCUAUAACCUCUCUUUUUCCUUCUUCCUUUAUCUAUCAAAUCAAUCUUAUAAUUAUUUGGUAUUCUUAAUUUUUGUUUAUAUGUAGAAUGUGACAUUGCACGGGCAAUGCAAAGUUUUCAGGGGUAAUAGCAAUGGUCCCUCUGAGUUGCUCUUUUCGGUGAAGAGAUCGUCAAUAAUCCCGAGUGGGAAGAUGAUUAGAUUAGAUGUCUUCCUUGAAAACAAGAGAAAAGGAAGCAUGUGUGAUUUUAGAGUCAUCGUUCGUGGAAGUAAAAAUUCAUGCACUAUUUAUGCCGGUGAAUCUCCAACUAUUGUUGCCAAGGUGUGUAUUGCAUGUGUUCUGGGCAUGUUUUUAUAUACACAUUAGUUUAAUUACCUAUCUAUUAUGGGUUUGGAUAAUUGCUGAUAUAAAGUGAUGUGUAAUUUAUAUUUAAAUAUUUUUAUGAUAAAAUUAAGUUAAGAGUAAAAUUUAGUAUAAUUUUUUAUUCUAGUUAGAAUUGCUUAACUCAGAAUCAAUUUUAGAUCCAAAAUCGAUUAUGAAUCUUUUUUAACAUAAAAUCAAACAUAUAAUUUUUGUUCUAAAAUCAAUUAUGAACUUGAAAAUAAUUUUUUUUUUUUGCUUUUAACUCAUAAUCAAUUCUAACCUGAAACAAAGCACACAUACUUUUUUCUUGAUAAUUAUCGGAAACCUUGAGCACACACAAAAUGAACAUUUCCCCUUUUAAUACGAUUUAUAACCUAAGGACAAAUUAUAAUUCGAACCCUAAACCACUUUUAUUGUGCCAAACUCUUAUUGAUCCAAACAAAUAAUUAAUACAACUGAAUGGAUAUAAUGACUACAUUUUAUCGCCCUCUUUCAUGUAGAUGGAGAAUAAUGGAGGCUUCAAAGUCUUGGUCUAUCCCAACGUGGACUACGCAUUCAUAGUGACACUACUUAUGAUUAUUGAUGACAUCAAAGAUUAUGAUGUGUUGGUAAAUGCGACGGUGAGUGGUGUCCUAACUGUGGCGACGGGGGGUAUCUUACCUAUUCUGACAUUGUUUGAGGGAGAAAAUUUAGAAGAAGAAACCUUAGAUGGAGAAAACUUAGAAGACGAAUACUUACAAGAAGGAGAAAACAACUCAGGUGGAGAAAACUUAGAUGGAGAAAACAACCCAGAAGGAGAAAAUUUAGAUGGAGAAAACUUAGAAGUAGAAAACAACUUCGAAGCUGAAACUUAGACGCAGCUUCGUAAGUGAGUGCUUGUGGUAUUGUUCUCUAAUUGGCAUUAAUGUUUAUGUAGUUUCAUGUCAAUAAUAAUCUGCAUAAUAAAGGUUUUCAUUAAAUGUCAAUGCAGAUUAGCCAGCUGGUUAAAUUCUUAUUAUGUCGUCGAAGUUUUAUUGUUGUAUAUGAAACAAAUUAAAAUUAAAUCUUGGGCACGAUUUUGGUUAGAACAGGUUGUAUCUUUUCAUUUUAGUGCAUGAAUAAAAUUGAGAAGAUAUUGUAAAUAAAAAAAGAUGUAAUAUUUUUCGUAGUUUUUUUAUAAAAAAAAUUGAGUAAUGAUAUUGGAACACUAUUAUUUUGAAUAUUUAUCAACACUUGUCAUUUUUUUUAUCUUUUUCUUUCUACCACGUCAAAUCACUAAUGCGUAUAAUAUGAAUGGACAAAAACAAAUAUAUCUUACAUAAUAUAGUAUCGAAGAUUAAGUGUCCGGAUAUCGAAUGCACGUGACUAAUUGUGUUCUUAAAAUAAUAUAUUUUAUUUUGCAACUAAGUAAUUGAGGAAAGAAAUUAAAUUAAGAUGGAUUGAUGAUCAAUUAUCUAAUGCAAGAUCAAAUCUAAACGAGUAAGAUAGUAUCGAGUAAGAUAGUAUGAAAGAGAAGAUGAUUUCAGGCAUACCAAUUCCACCAAUCCUAAUUCUAACAAGAUUCUUAGGAUUGUUAAUUGUCGAUUUUCUAAAGUCAAUUAUUAGUCAUUGAUUGUGGUCAAUUAUUAAUCAAUUUCCUAAUUAACCUACUAGAGGUUAUCCAACCAGUUUGGCAUGCAGUUUGAUAUAAAACACUUUUUUCCUAAUUCUACCAAUUACAUGUAAAUGAUCACUGUUAAGCAAUCAUUUAUGUAUUAGUAAGUCCAUUUCCACCAACCAAUUUGGUCAUGUAGUUUGGUAUAAAACACUUUCUUCCUAAUUCUACCAUUAAAUGCAAAUGAUUACUAUUAUGCAAUCAAUUAUGUAUUAGAACAUCCAUUUCCAAAAUAGAAAUUAAAAGUAAAGAAGAUAAUCAAUUAACUAAAUGACAUCGAGAAUUUCAUUAAAAUUAAGAAAGGAGUUCAAACUAGGUUACAUCAUAAUAAUCGAACUAGGGAGACUAGUUGCUCAUUGUACACACUAUUACAAAAAAAAAAAUUUUAACGUGUCUUACUUGGCACCUUGCUUGCAUGAGUAAGUACAAGUGUACAAUCUGUUUUAAAUUAUGUGUGUAUUGGUUUGUUCUAAUGGAUUGGUUUGUUUGAGAAAUAGAUCAAAACAACUAGAAAGAUCAUGCAUCAAAGAUAGAAAAUGGUGGUGAGUCUAGGAGGAUUUCUAGGUCUUUUAUACAAUGAUGUCAAUGUGACAUGUGAGCAUUUUCAUGGGAGAAAGAUAGAGAGAAAAAGAGAGAGGUAGGGGUGACAUGGAUGAAGUUACCAUUACCAAACAAUUUAAUAUCAUUUUAUUCCUCAAAUUAGUCACUUUAGUUCUUGAAAAAAAAAAGUGUUAUGGUUACUAUAAAUUAUAAAAAAACACCCCUAAAAUCUUCAUUUUUGACUCUUAUUAUGUAGAUAAUGAACAUCAUCUUAUUUUACUAACGAAGUUUGUAGAUGGCUAAAAGUAGGGAUUAACUUGGAUAACAUAAUUCAAUGUCAAAGAUUUAUUUUUCAUGUAUCUAAUUUUAGGAACUAAUAUUUUUUUAUUGGUAAGAAUUGAGCAUGGUAUUAAAAAAUUUACAAUACUCACACAUCUUACUCAACCAAUUAAGUUAGACCCCUUAAUAUUUUAGGAACUAUACCCCCACAAUUUUAGAGACUAAAAUGAUGAUUUGAUCCUUUUUAUUUUUUGUCGAAGAUGAAGAAAAAAGGAAGAAAAAAAGAUUUAGAUUUUUUAAAAAAUAUCUUUAUAUCUAUUCAUAACUUUUAAUCUUAAAUAAGAAUAUGAUGCGUUCUUUGUUAGUAAGAAGCAACAAAGGAAUAAGAAUAACAAAAAAGCACAUGAUAGGAAAUGAGAGCAACCAAGUCAGAGAAUAUCCUCUAGACUCCAAAUUUCAUUCAAAUCCCUCGUACCCCUUACAAUGACCGCCUUCCUUACAUAUAACUGAAUUCCCCUCUCCAUUGAUUUUCUCCUCUAACAAACUUAUUCCCCCUCUCACAAAAGGCUACUGCUAAAUAGACAAAUUUGCCCUCUUGGGCCUGAUGGCAUAUACUUGAUCAAAUCUACUCUUGGACUUUAAGUAUUUUGAGUUGCAAAAUAAUUUUAUAGGAUUUAAGUAUUUUGAGUUGUAAAAUAAUUUUAUAUUUUAUGAAUACUGUGAGUUAUUAAAUAAGUUAUGAGAUUAUAUUUUAUUAUGAAUGAGUUACUUAGGGGGUGUUUGGUUUGGUUAUUUUCUGUUUUCAUUUUCACCGAAAACAGAAAACGGUGAUGAAAAUGUGUUUGGUUGGAUUUCUGAAAACAUUUUCAGUGAAAAUGAAAACAGGAAACAGCCAGAAAAUGAAAACAAUAAAUUUUCGUUUUCAGUGUUUUCAGUUGAGAACAGAAACCUCAUUUCAGGUAAAAUAAAAUUGUGAUGACAAUGAAUGUAUUUUUAAACAAAUCUAAAAAUACAAAAAGACAAAAAGUCAAUAUAUCAUAAAUUUUCAGUAUUUUUAUUUCAUGAAAACAGAAAAUAAGAAGUCAAACCAAACAUAUUUUCAGAAUUCUAAUCUUUUGAAAAUGAAAACAAUUUUCAGAAAAUGAAAACAGAAAAUGAAAAUGCAAACCAAACACACCCUUAAAUUGCUUAAAGGUUUAUGACUUAUCUUUUUUUGUUUAUCCGAUAAUACAAUUUUUAAGUUUGAGGAUUUUAUUUUAUGGGAUUAUAUUUUAUUGUGAGUAUAUGUAUAAUAUUGAUUUUAAAAAAAUGUCCCUUACUAAUUUUUAAGUUUGAGGAUUUUUUUUUCAAAACUUAAAGAUGUGUUAAUUUUUUAACGGUCCAAUUCUAUAACCAACCCAAUCCAAUCUUAUAUAUAAAAGUUAGAUUAGAUUAGAUUGAGUUGUAAAAAAAAGGUAAGCUCAAUCUAACCCAAUCCAAUUAAAUUUAAUUAGAUUAGGUUGAAAAGGAAAUAAAACUUAACUCAAUCCAGCUCCUAAUCUAAAAUAUACAUACUAUGCCAACCUUCUUGGUAUUGGAUAGAAAUUUCACUAUUAAUUAAUAAUGUUGUAUUGUCUGCCAUAUUUUAGGUUCUAUAUUUGGUUUAAAGGUGGGAGGAAAAUAAUUUUAAUGAAAGAGGGAGAAGAAAAGAGAGGUGAUUACACGUUUUGUUUGGUUUAGAGAAGAAGAGAGAUUUUAAUAGAAUGAGAGAAAAUAAUCAUUUUCUUGUUUGGUUCAUAACUAGAGAAGGAAUUUUGAAAAUUAAUUUCCUUGCAUGUUUAUAUAAUUUUAUUUUCCAAAACAUAAGUAGAGAUAUUUUAGUUAAUACUCAUCAAAUAUGUUUUAAAUGUUUUUAUUUUUUUUCUCCCAAAAAUUAAACCAAAUUAUAAAAUUUUAUAAAAAUAUAUCCCUACAUCCCUCUUCCACCAUUUUCUUUUAACCAAACACUAUAUAUGUUAGAGUGAAUUAAUUAGAAAGAGAAAAAAAAAAACAAAAAGAAAGAAAGUAAUAAAUAUGAUAUAUAAUGUGACUAACAAGUUGAUCCGGUCAACGGUAAAAACAACUCAAAUUUAUUAAUAUAUUUUAAAAUAAUCUCAUUUUGGUAAUUAGUUUAUAAUUUCCCUUCUCAUCUUUCUCUCUUUUUUUUCCUACUUUGAAAGUAAUAAAUGUAAUACACAUUAAAUAAACACAUUCUAUUUGGAUAAUUAAAAAAAGUACAUAUCUAAAAUAUACUAUGCCAACCUUCAUGGUUUGGAUAAGAUUAUUUUUCCAAAAUCAAAUUCAGUUUCAGUCAAAACAAAAAAUAAUUAUUUCUACUUUUUCAUCAUAAUUUUGAGAACUUAAAUUGAUUCCAGUAGUUAUCCAAACACACCAAUAUAGGGUGGAUUCAAAAUGAAAGAAUAGAAGAAAAUAAAAGAUAGAAAAAGAAUAGUGUAAAUAUGAUAAAUGAUGUAACUAGUGAAUUGAUCAGGUCAAUGGUAAAAAGCAUCUAAAUCUCAUAAUAUAUCACAUUUUAGUCAUUAGUUUCUUAGAGUGUCCUGUUUUGGUGAACCAUUCCUUAGUAAAAUUACUCUUACCUUAAAGGACUUGCAUGUGUGUGUGUAUAUAUAUAUAUAUAUAUAUUAACUUUUGCAAAACUUUUGUUUGCGGCUAGUAAGAUCAGAGCCCUAUAAAAAUGUAGCCAAUAACCCAUAUUCCCACAUAUGUUCUAAAUCCACUAUUCAUCCAAAUGAAGAAUAUGUUUCUCAUCCUUUUCUUUUCUGCUCUUCUAAUUUCAUCCACUUCUAAUGCUUCUAACGUCAAUGAUUUCUGCGUAGCAGACCUCAAGGGUACAAAUAGCCCUUCUGGCUCUAACUGCAAGCCCGCUGAUACAGUAACAGCAAAUGACUUUGUCUUCACUUUUCAACCUGCAAACACAUCUAACCCUAUCAAAACUGGAAUCAGCACUGCAUUUCUUAAAGACUUUCCUGCUCUCAAUGGUCUUGACAUCUCUGCAGUACGUGUAGUUAUCGAUAAAGAUGGAUUUAUUCCAUUGCAUUCACAUCCUCAUGCCACUGAACUAAUAAUCGUGGUGGAAGGUCAAAUCACUGCUGGAUUCAUGGCAGCUACCAAAGCUUAUGUGACCAAGACACUGAAACCGGGAGAUCUUAUGGUUAUCCCACCAGGACAAUUGCAUUUUCUAGCAAAUUAUGAUCAAAGAAGAGCCACUGUUUUUGCUGCUUUUAGUAGCUCAAACCCUACUGUCCAUUCUUUUAAUAAUAUAUUUGCCAACAAUGUACCCUCUAAUGUACUUGCCCAAACUACCUUCCUUGAUGUUGCCCAAGUGAAGAAGCUUAAGGCUCGUUUCGGUGGCAGAAACUAGGAUAUUAUUGCUUGCUUAUUGAUUAAUUAGUUAGUUAAUGUGUUUGUUCCAAUGAUCAUAAACAAUAAACACUGAUUAUAUUCUUUUGUGUCUGAUAAGAUUAUAUAUACUCUUUCGAUCCCUUCAUCACUUAUAUACUAGAUUUUGAGUUCUCCCUUGAUUUUGUGCAUGUUCAGCUUUCAGGUGAUGCUUCAUGAACUUUGUAAUCUCGAUUAGUUGUUCUGGCUUUUAGCUGCCUUUAUGACAACAACAACAAAAAUGUUUAUGUAGACUUAAACUUGUGUUUGGAACGAGACCAAGUUGAUUUUCUUUAUGCCGAAAAGUUUUUGACGAGUGUACUACACAAGAUAAAGAUAAAAAAAUUAAAAUGGAGAAUUUUUUUUAAGAGUCGGUCUAUUCUAAUCCACAAUAUGAUAUCUGGAUGAUUUUCUUAAUUACAAAUAAUUAGGUAUGUUGAUAAACUACUCAAUAAACACCUUAGAAGAAUAAAAUAGAAUAACAAAUAAAAUAAAUAUUCAGUUAACUGCAAAACUCUUUGUUCUCCCUACAAGAAUGUUCAGUUGCCAUUCUUGUCAUCGACGAUGACAACCUCCGCAAGUAGGUCUUCGAUUCAACCCGCACAGUUCAGAGUCGUACAUGUAGAAGGUGCAUUAAAAUGUGGCAACUUGGACGGGGAACUUCUAUAUAAAAAAAAAAGGCUUGGACGGAGAGACGAGAAAAUGUUAGCGGUAGUUGGAGAGAGAAAGACAACAUUUUUGUGAAGAAAAAAUUGUGUCUUUUUCUUCUAUUACUGGGUUUUUUUUUUUUGCUGUGAAAGAACAAUCAAAGUAUUCAUUUGUCAACACUUCAGCACAUGUGUGUGAUUUGUCAUAUCAUGAUCACUUCAAUGUAUUUUAUUAAAUAAUAAAGACAAUUAGAUAAACAAACUCUUUAGUAUCUGAAAAUACUCAUUUAAUUGAUCCCAACACCCCAAUUAUUUGAUGAUAUUUAUGGUCAUAUAUCGAUUAUAUUUGCCCUUUUCGGCUUGAACUGGUUGAGAAUAUUUGAAUUUGAAUCCGUCCAUAACCAAUUACCCAUAAGCCUAAUUUACUUAUUCUGUAUGUAUGAAAAACAUGACCAUUAUCAACCAGACGAAGCUUACAAAUUUUUACCCCUUCAUGACACUGCGGUGUGUCAAAAGGAUUUGUAUUUGGACAAGAAAAUGGUACAAUAAUUUCCACACUAAAGGAAGAGAAGUGAAGGUAUUAAAAAAAAAGUAUGAGGUAAAAUAUCAAUAUGUUGAAAAGACAGAAAAACACAUAAUAUUAUAAAAUAUAAAAUUAAAUAUGUUCUUGGUAUUUACUAAUGUUUGUUUUUGUUCCUUAAAAAAUAUUUAUCAUUCAUGAAAAUGUGUUGCUCGCAAUUCUUAUAUAUUUUUCAUAUAUGAGUAUUUAUUUGUUAAAAACACAUUUCUAGAGCAAAUAAACAAACAAAAAAUGGCAUUUUACAUAUACUAAAAGUAAAUGUUCUGUUUACAUAAUCAUAGAUAUCUUCCUAAUAUGAAUACUUCUAUCACCUUAUGACCUUAAAAUUAUAAAUAAAAAAAAUAUUGUAUGAGUAAUUGUUGUAAUUUGUUCUAACAGUAAUGUAGUACUAUCAGUUAAGCUUAAUUUCAACACUCUACCCGACACAUGUUUAAUUUUACCUUUCUGUUUUGUUUUGUUUCCACUUAUUAGUGUAUGUAUUUAUUGUUACUACUAGUAGCCAAAUUCUCCGAAACAGGGCCAAACAAUGUGAGCAGAGAAACAUUACUACAGUAAUCUUUAUAGUUAGCAAACAUAUUCAUAACAAAUUACAUCUAAAAAAGAAUUAUUCCUUAGCGAAGUUUCUUUUAACUUGAUAGUUAGCAAACAUAUUUAUAGCUAAUGUAUCAAAAAUUCUUGUCCAUUCCUCGGUAGCUUGAAUAGUUGUGAUAUCAUCUAUGUCAAAUACUAAAUUUUCUACUGCACCCAUUCCCUUCCGUGUUAAUUCCUAUGGUUUUUAUGUACAAUAAUAUGUUACUUUUGCCUUUGUACAUUACAGAAUAAGCAAAACAGUGACAGCGUGACUAUUAAUUGCAAGUUGCAAUAUUCUUUUCUAUUUUCCUUUUGUUUUACACAUGAACAAUCCUGCAAAAUAAUAAGGUUAUUGCUGAGAUGACCUAAUCAUGCUCUAUUUUGGAAAUGAUGCGUUCUGGUAUUAAAAUAUGCUUUCUAUGAUUUUUAUUUUAUUUUUUUGUUCCUGGUUGCUUUAACCUAGUGUUUUGCCCCAUAGGUUAUCAUCAAUCACCAGGCUCUUCCUUGCCUUCUAAUCUAUUGACCAAUAAUUAUUAAAAAAGCAUCAAGAAGGAAGCUUGUUGGACCAUAUCAAACAUCACAACCGGUAAUAAACAGCAGAUUCAGGUAUAGUUACUUGUUCAUCAGUCCCUUCCCCUUUUGCAUAAUUGCAUGCACGUACAGAUUAUCAGAUGCAAGCCUGGACUUUUGAGUCUAUAGAUUAUUACAUUUUAACGAUGGAAAAAUGAAUUCAAAAGUCAAACUUAAUCAGAUUUUGCCAAAGGAGAAGAUAGAAGAAAAAUAAUCACGAUAGUAAUCAACCUGAGGUGGAAUGUGGAUUUCAGAAUAUGGAUUUUAUGAUUAUUGUAUCGUUAUGAAUCAUCAAACUAGUAAGGACCAAAAGUGGAAUUGUUGGUUGGUUAAAAGUCUUUAUUGGCAUUACUAUGUUAACACUUGACAUUAUUGGAGAAUAGAGACAAUAUUCUUUAACCAUUAGUAUUAGAGGCAUGAGGUAUUUUAGAUUCUUCAUCUUAAUGCCUAAGAUUAAAAUGGGACCUUGUAUACAAGGUUUGAGCCUGAAGCAUUCAUGUGAUCACUUACUAAUGCAGUUCUAAUUACUGAGAUUUCUCUUGUACUAUUAAAAACUCCUAUUGUGAUUUGUGCUAUAUCUUUGUUUCUUUCUCCUUUAUUCUAGAACUUAAAGUUAAUUAUUUUGCUGGCACAGGCAUUUGGUUGAUUGACACCAUAGAGGUCUUUAUCUGGGAGUUAAUGCAGAAUUCCAGAUCAUGUAUUUGCAUUUUUAAGAGCAAAUGCAUUUUUAUUCUUUCACAACGUAAAAGUAGCUUGUUUUAGGCACGUUUUAGCUCUACCGCACACUGUUUAAUUCCUUGAUCUGCAUGUUACUUGACUUAAAUACAAUUUGAGACUUACGGAUAAUGCAAUGGUACAACCCCUUUAUAUUUUCUGAUGACAUAAAACUGUACAAUUACUUGAAUUACAGUUGCUAAUUUUUCAAUCUUCAAUCAUUAUAGAAGCUUAAGGAACAAUCACAAGCUUCUUCUGUUCCUUUUCACAAACUUCUAAAAGUCAUAUAAACUCUCUCAUUCUUUAUUAUUCUCUAAAACUUCAAGGUUUUAUGGGCUUGGAUCUUUUUUAGAUAUUUUUUUAGAGAAAUUUAUCAGAGGGAACAAAUAACAAAUGCCAUUCAGCCUCCAAUGAAUUAAACACGGUGAAGAAUAAACACAAAGUGAAGAAACUAAAAUUCUAGAAGAAUAAACACAAGCACCAAAUUUGCAAAAAUGCUCACAGUACAAAUUAAUGAAAUCAAACAAUGAAUAUCCACAGUACAAAAUCAAUGAAAUCAAACAUUUAAAUAAAAAAUAAAUCAAAAAUUAACGAAAAAAAAAUGAAUACACUGUGGCACAGCGAGAGUGUGGAUUGAAAUCGCAAGGAAAACUUACUUGUGAGCGAACGUUAUGUGUGGUGCGUGAGAGUGACUGAGAGGGAGAGAGAGCUACGGAGAGAACUAGUGUACUAAGAGGGAGAGAAAGCGCUAGCGUCGUGUGCGUGAAAGUGACUGAAUUUGAUUUUGAAAAAAUAAUCUUAUCCAAACACCUUUUAUACGUUACCAUGAAGGUUGGCAUAGUAUAUUUUAGAUAUGUCCUUUUUUUAAUUAUCCAAAUAGAAUGUGUUUAUUUAAUGUGUAUUACAUUUAUUACUUUCAAAGUAGGAAAAAAAAGAGAGAGAAAGAUGAGAAGGGAAGUUUGAAUAUUUUUAUCCAUUAGAGAAAUGCUUACCCGGAAGAGAAUAUAAAUUUAAAGGUAAGUAAUUGUAUUAAAGGCUGGUUGACCAAAGUAGGGGUACUAUUAUAAACUAAUUAUCAAAAUGAGAUUAUUUUAAAAUAUAUUAAUAAAUUUGAGUUGUUUUUACCGUUGACCGGGUCAACUUAUCAGUCACAUUAUAUAUCAUAUUUAUUACUUUUUUCUUUUUGUUUUUUUUUUCUCUUUCUAAUUAAUUUACUCUAACAUAUAUAGUGUUUGGUUGAAAGAAAAUGGUGGAAGAGGGAUGUAGGGAUAUAUUUUUUUAUAAAAUUUUAUAAUUUGGUUUAAUUUUUGGGAGAAAAAAAACAUUUAAAAUAUAUUUGAUGAGUAUUAACUAAAAUAUCUCUACUUAUGUUUUGGAAAAUAAAAUUAUAUAAACAUGCAAGGAAAUAUCUCUACUUAUGUUUGAUGGUUUGUUCGGUUGAUCUUUACAGUAUUAGAGACGGGUUAUUGAGACGAAAUGUCCUAUGUCUAAUAAAUGUUAACUGAUGAUAUUUAUCUUGAUUACUAGUUUCUAAAAGUGUCCUAAUUAAUUUGAUCAAUCAUUUUUUUUAUAAAAUUACUCUUUUCUCAUUCUUUUCUUUUCCGCUCUUCUUUCAUCCACUUCCUAUGCUUCCAAUGUGAAUGAUUUCUGUGUGGCAGACCUUAAAGGUCCAGAUAGCCUUUCUGGCUAUCCUUGCUUGCCACCUACAACACUUACAGAUGAUAACUUUGUGUUCAAUCUUCAACCUGCAAACACCUCACAGUUCCCUACUAUCAAAGCUGGAAUUAGCACUGCAUUUGUUAAUGAAUUCCCUGCCCUCAAUGGUCUUGACAUCUCUGUAGCGCAUGUAGCUUUCGAAAAAGAUGGGUUUUUUCCAAUGCAUUCUCAUCCUGAUGCCACUGAACUAAUCAUCUUGGUGGAAGGUGAAAUCACUGCUGGAUUCGUCACCGGUAUGAAUUCGAUUGCUUAUCUGAAGACGCUGAAACCCGGAGAUCUUAUGGUUAUUCCACCAGGACAUUUGCAUUUUGUAGCAAAUUCUGGUAAUGAGAAAGCCACUGGUUUUGCCACUUUCAGUAGCUCAAACCCUACUAUCCAUUCAUUCAACAAUAUAUUUGCCAACAAUAUACCUUCUGACAUACUUGCACAAGCUACAUUUCUUGAUGUUGCCCAAGUCAAGAAUCUUAAGGCUCGUUUUGGUGGCAGCAACUAGUAUGAUUAAUUGCUAGCUUAUAAUUAAUUAUGUGCUGGCUCCAAUGGUUUUUCUUUUUUAUAAGAUGUGUUUGCUCCAAUAAUCAUCAACAAUAAAGUUAUUUACUUGUAUGUUUCCCUUUUUCAUUUUUUGUCCAAUCUCAAAUCUUAAUAUACUUGUUGGCUCCCUGACUGCGAACGAAAUAACUACAAGGAAAUAACCCCGGAUAGGUGAAGAAAGAAAGAUCGACAAGCAUUCGAAUUUUUCAUAAUAAAAGCACACUUUAUUUUAAUUUAGUUUUUGUUGAUUUAUUUUACUUGCAUUUUUUUUAUCAAUGGAAAGAAUAAAAAAGAAGUAGGCAGAAGAAAACUAAUGGCAGCGGACAUUGGUCACAACUCACAAGUCUGAAAACUGGGCGAUGAUUGGCCACCUUACUUUGCUAACUAGUCGGCUAUCUUUUUCCUUCACUAAAAGUGUGAGAGAAUUGAAUAUUUCAUUGUUGUUGCUUAAAGGAAUGAAUCUUUGUAAUGAGAGUUGCGUAUAUGGAUGACAUGAAUGUACUCCAAGAUUGAUAAGCUCCAAAGGGACUUUUGAAUCCAUUUCACAUAUAAUAUGAUGCGCACCCAGGGAAUGCCAAGAACCAACGCAAAUAGUUCUGUAUGAAGGGAUGUAAUAACCCCACAUGAUCAAUAGAAACGUGUUACUCAUUCACCAGUUGUGUUCUUCCUAAUUACUCCUCCGACGCCUACUUUGCCCAGAUUCCCAAGAGGAGAACCAUCAGUGUUCAACUUCAAGAAAUUUGGUGGUGGCAGACUCCGUGAGAUAUAGAUAACUGAGUUGUCCCUAUUGUUGGAACACACACUGUUCCUCACUUAAUUGCAAGAGAUGCAAUUCACUCCCUCACACAUUCCCUCGUGUAUCACUCACUGUUUUCUAAGCAUAGAAUUGCACACACACUAGGAAUAGCACUAGAGACUGAAAAUGAUAGAAUGAAAACAACACUUUAUUAAGAUGUAUGAUUGCCCUUUUAUACAAGCAAAACAAAGUAACAACCCUUCACUCUUAGGUUAGCACUUAUAACAGAAUUUUAAAAUUCUGCUACUCUCUCUUAUAUACAAAGCCAAAACAGAAUUAAACUCUCACACCCUCCCUUAAUUCUGAUCUCCUAAGUCCAUCAAGCCAAUUCUGUCCCUUAACAUUUUAAACCUCUCCCCUUUGAGAGGUUUGGUUAAAAUAUCAGCAAGUUGAUCAAAUGUGCAGCAGUACUCCACUUUUAAUUUCUCUUUGUUCACUUGAUCCCUAAGAUAGUGAAAUUAAACCUUGUUUCUAUGUGUUUGCUUCUACCAUGAGAGGUUGGAUUCUUUGAUAGGCUUAUAGCUGACUUAUUAUCCACAAAAAGCUUCACUCCAUCACUCUCCUUGAUUUUUAAUUCCUGUAGUAAUGUGUCCAACCAGACAGCUUGACAAGCACUCAUUGCAACUGCAACAUACUCAGCUUCACAUGUUGAUAGAGCCACUAUGGAUUGCUUCUUAGAACACCUCGAUAUUGGUGCUGCACCAUACAUGAAUAUGUAACCUGUAGUACUCUUUCUGUCAUCUCUGUCUCCUCCCCAAUCUGCAUCAGUAUAUCCCAUCAAUUCCUCUGAGUUGCUAUUGUCUUUAUUUGGAAAUAAAAUUCCAGCAUUGAUGCCCCCUUUUAUGAACCUUAGAAUCCUCUUGGCAGCUAAGAGAUGAGGAAUUCUGGGUCCUUUCGUAUAUCUACUUACCAGUCCAACAGCAAAUUCCAAAUCAGGUCUUGAAUGACACAAGUACAUGAGAGAACCAACAAUCUGUUUGAACUCAAUUGCAUCGACUUUGUCUUCCUUGCCCUCCUUUUCAAGUACAAGACCUGCCUCUGUUGGUGUUGCUGCUGAAUUACAUUCAACCAUGUUGAAUCUCUUCAAUAUUUCUGUUGCAUACUUGCUCUGGAGCAUCAAAAUACCUCUCUCAGUCUUCUUGAAUUCAAGUCCAAGGAAAUAGGAUAGAACCCCCAUAUCAGUCAUUUCAAACUCACUCAUCAAUUCCCUUUUUAGUUCUGCUAUUUCACUUUCAUUACCACCAGUGAUCAACAAAUCAUCCACAUAGAGGCAUAUAAUAAUGAUAUUACCUACUGACUUGGAUCUUACAUAGACUCCAAACUCACAGCUACACUUAUCAAAGCCAAUUUUCAUCAUAAAACUGUCAAUUUUAUUGUUCCAAGCUCUUGGGGCUUGCUUAAGUCCAUAAAGAGCUUUUCUCGACCUGAGAACCUUUGACUCUUGGCCAGCUAUAGAGAAUCCAAGUGGCUGAGUAACAUAGACCUCCUCAUCAAGAGGACCAUUUAAGAAAGCACACUUCACAUCUAGUUGGUGCACUGUCCAAUUCUUUAGGCUAGCAAUUGCCACUACUGUUCUAAUAGUCUCAAUUCUAGCAACUGGUGCAAACACCUCUCUGUAGUCAAUCCCAACUUUCUGCAAAAAUCCUCUAGCCACAAGUCUAGCUUUAUACUUGACCACCUUGCCUUCUGGAUUUGUCUUAAUCUUAUAGAUCCACUUCAUAUCAAUGGGCUUCUUUGAUUUUGGUUGAGAUACCAGCUCCCACACUUGAUUUUUCUCAAUAGAUUUAAGCUUUUCUAUCAUAGCUUCAACCCACCUCUGAUCAGUCAUAGCAUCUUCAAAGUUUAUUGGUUCUGCUUCAGAAAACAGAGCAAAAUGUACAAGAUUCCCAUCUGCACUUACAUCAGCAUCAAACAACAUCUCAAAACCUUGAAAUCUAGCUGGUUUGGGUGCAUUUCUCUGGGGUCUCACUUCUCUUUGAGUGGUAUUACCAUUCCCUUCACUUGUUUCUUCCUCUUCUGACCUUAUCAUUAUUGAAGGUCCUUUCAUUUCAGUAUUCUGCUCCCAGUUCCAGCUUCUAGAUUCAUCAAAUACCACAUCCCUACUAAUUAUUAUCUGCUUACUCUUCGGAUCAAACAUCUUAUAGCCUCCAGUUGAGUGAUAUCCGAGUAAGAUCAUUUGUUCACCUUUAUCAUCUAGCUUCCUUCUUAACUGAUCUGGGAUAUGCCUAAAACAAAGUGAUCCAAAGAUUCUGAAAUGGCUCACAUUUGGUUUAGCACCACUCCAAGCUUCUUAAGGUGUUAUUCCUUCCAAUCUCUUUGAAGGGCUCCUAUUCAAGAUGAAGACAGCUGUAGACACUGCCUCUCCCCACAAGUACUUGGGCAGACUCUUGCCUUUCAACAUGCUCCUUACCAUAUUCAUUAUGGUUCUGUUUUUUCUUUCUGCAGCUCCAUUAUGUUGAGGUGUGUAGGGAGGAGUCACUUCAUGAAUUAUGCCUUCUUGAUCACAAAAUUCUUGAAAUUCUAUAGAAACAUAUUCACCUCCACCAUCUGUUCUUAAUAUCUUGAUCAAUGAGUCACUUUGCUUUUCUGCCAUAUUUUUGAACUUCUCAAAGACUUCAAAGACAUCACUCUUCCUUCUUAUUAGGUAAACUCAUACUUUCCUAGUCAAUUCAUCAAUAAAGGAUAUGAAGUAUCCGUUUCCACCCAGAGAUUCAGUUUGCAUAGGGCCACACACAUCAGAGUAAAUCACCUCAAGUUUCUCUUUUGCCCUGAUUGGUACAUUUUGUUUGAAAGUGCUUCUUGAUUGCUUACACUGUAAAUCAGCUGUAGACACUGCCUCUCCCCACAAGAAUGUGAUAACUCAUUCCCUGUGUGUUGUUUCUUUUUGGAUCUUGUGAUGAUCUCGAACCUUGUGUUUGUGGGAACAAAUGGUUAGGUGGAUAGCUUUAGAAAACCUCGUGCUAGAGGACGCCGAGACACAAUGCUCUGAUAGGACGUGACACUGGGACAUGAGUUUAAGCAUUAAUUACAUAAAGUUCUCGACAUGUAGUUUUUAUCAUUUUUGUUUCACAUGUUGAGUCUUUAGUUCAUUCUCUGGAGUUUUGGAUGACCUUGUUUUGAGCCGGAAAUGUUUUCAUACCCCUAAUUGAUAAGUUUUUUUAAUUUGGUGACUAAUGUGAAUAUGAACCUUUUACCCACAUGAACUCCUUAUAUUUAUUGAAUAAAAUCAUUUCAUGUAAUUCUGUAUUUCCAUGUAUUUUAUUAUAUAAAUAUGUAUAUCGGGGUAGAGGGUGUUAGAGUGUGUAUGUAAUAGAUUAUGUUUGUCAUUGUACAACAAUAAUAUAUAUUUUAAAUUCUAACUUAAGGUAGUUUAUAUAUACUUUCUAAAAAAAUAUGUUGCAUGCUCAAAUUUUAAACAAGUUCAUAGUUAUGCUUCUAAAUAUGAUGAAUUUUAUUAAACAUUAAAUUUUAAGUGUACAAGUUUACAUAUUAAUUUUUUUUAAUAUAGACCGAGUCAUGUGGGUCAACUAAUGACUCAUUGGGUCACUGGGUCACUGGGUGACCUAGUACCCCGAUUGAGUCAAUGAAAAAUUCGAGUAUGAUAAUACUGCUACAGGACCAAACCCACAUUGUACCUAAUAUGGGAUUAGGGCCAUUAAUGUUAUUUUUAAAAGUGAUUUUUUUCCAACUGUCCAAAAAAUAAUUUUAAAUUAAUCGACUAGGAUUAAUUUUAGUCGACCUCAACUAGGAUUAUUUGCUACCGACCUUGACAAAGGCUAUUUUUGGACGACCUCAAUGCGGAUUUUUUCCCCACCUCGUUCAAAGCAUUUUUUAUUGACCUUCGUCAAGGCAAUUUUGGACUGACCUUGUUAGGGUUGUUUUGGUCGACUUCGAUCAGAGCUAUUUUUGGUUGAACUCAAUCAAGGUUGUUUUUGGCUGACCUCGGUCAUGACUAUUUUUGGUCAACCUCGGCCAUGACUGUUUUCAGUCUACCUUGGUAGGGGUCGUUUUUGGCUAAACUUGGCUAGGGUUAUGUUCGACCAAUAUCAGCUAGGGUUAUUUUUUACCAACUCCGACCAGGAUUGUUUUUUGUCAACCACACCCAGGGUUAUUUUCUAUUGACCUCGAUCAAGUCUAUUUUUGGUUGACCUUGGUUGAGGUUGUUUAUGGUCGACCUCAACAUGGCUCAUUUUGGUUGACCUUGGCUAAGGUUAUUUUUUGUCAACCUCGGUUAGAGUUGUUUUUGGAUGACAUUGACGAAACUCUUUUUGGAUGACCAACCUAGACUAGGGUUAUUUUUGGCCAACCUCAACUACGGUUAAUUUUGGCUAAUCUCGCCUAUGGUUAUUUUCAGGCGAUAUUGUGUACGAUUAAUUUUGGCCAACCUCGGUUAUGGUUAUUUUUGGCCAACCUUGGUUGAGGUUAUUUUCAGCCAACCUCGACUAGGGUUAAUUUUGGCCGAUCUUGGCUGAGGUUAUUUUCGGCCAACCUCAACUAGGGUUACUUUUGGUCGAUUUCAACUAACCUCUUUUAUACAAUUUUUUACAUGCUCUACUAUAUAAAAAUAAAGAAGUAUGAUAUUGAAAUAUAUAUUUGAAUUAUGAGAAUUGAAAAGAAGGUCUAAUUUUUCGGCCCAUGGGCUAGUCCUAGCCCAUAAGCCUUUGUGGGCUUUUUCGCCCUAUGGGCCAUUUAUAUAUGUGGCCCAUUUUGGCCCUAGCCCACAUGGGCCAAGGCCAAAUGGGUUAGGGUUAGCUUAUUUGACAAGUCUAGUUAUUUGAUUCCACCACAAAUAACACAACGAAAUCAUGCAAUUACCCUUUUAAGCAACAACAUUAUGAUUUCGUUGUGUUUUUAAAAAAAUAGUUUUUUUACAAGAAAUUUUUUGUUUUCGUAAAAGUAAACUUUAAUGUUUUAUAUUGUGAUUUAAUAAUCAUAUUUAUGAUGGUAUGACAAGCCAACAGUGUCCUAGCUUGAUGCAAUGUGAAUCGUUUAUUUUGUCGGUGCAAUCUUGGUUGUUGCUGAUAAUUGACUCACGAUAGAACAAUACAAUAUGAUAAUAAAUACGAUUGGUAUGAGGAUGCUCAAUGCAUUGUGUUGGAUCUUUCACUAUAUUAGGUUGAAGAUGGAGGGGAGUAGUUGCUAUUGUGUAUUAUGAUGGUGAUGUGGUACAAACUUCUGAGGAGGUAUAGUUUGAAUGUCUAAAUGGUCCUAAAUUCAUAAAAAUUAGUGAGGAAAUGUUGCUUAUUGCUUUGAGGAAAGUAGUCACAAAUGUCAUCAAAGGCAAAAGAAGCAGGCAGAAGAAGCUUAUUUGAGGUUUUUUUUUAUCGUAAACAUAUAUAUGUAGGUAAUGGUUGUGCUUAGUAUGACUGCAUGGAGCUUAAAGACACAAUGAAGUGGGGAAAGCGUUUUUCAUCUUUUCAUAAUUUAGUUCUAAAGGUCUGAUCAAGUUGUAUGCAAUGGUUAGCUAUCUCCAAAAGAAUUCUUUGCCCUGGUGAGAAACCAAGAAAACCAAGACCUACCGAAGAAAUCAUUUCUAUGAUGUGUGGAUCAAUGGUGACAACAAGCUCUAAUGAAGAUCAUAACUCUAUUUAGUCAUGUUUUAAUUGAUGAAAUUUAUGUCAGUUUUGGUUGUUGUUGUUGUUGUUGUUUGUUUUUUGAAUUAAAUUGAAAUUUCGUUCUUUAUUACAUUAAUAGGCGUGUGUCAUUUAAACAUAUAAACAAGGCAAACAAAAACUACUAAAAAUAAGUUUUUAUAAAAAACAUCAUAAGUAAAAUACAUAAUAAUACAAAAUGAUUGAAAAAAAUCAUCAAAUGUCUUCAAGUGCCCUUAUGGCCACCUCCUCUGCCACCUUUGUUGGCUUUCUUCCUCGGCUACUCCUCAGUGACCUACAUCCAGCUGCAAGACCAUCGUGUGCCAUCAGCAGAAGUUGUUGUUUGACCUGAUGACUAUUUAUGCCUUUAGGUACAACUCUCAUGUCCAUUAGUCUCUAUGUGUACGCUGACAUCAUUUGGAAUCAAUCCUACAUAAAUAAAACAAUACAAUUAGUAAUUAUUUUUUUAUUAAAAAUAAAACAAAAUGAUGAAAAUAUUGUUUGCAUUACUUGAUAGGAGUAAACAACCCCUGAUACAUAAUCUAGCAUCUGAACACCACUAGCUCGUGGCCGAGGUUGAGGAGAAAUAUGUAUUAGGACUGUGUGGUGGCUCUCCCUCCUGUGGUGAAAGCAUGUAUGGAUGUGAAUGCUCUUAAUACCAAGGCAGGUAGUAUCGAGUGCAAGCCCAUGGAGCCCCAUGUGGAACAACCUUGACCACUGCCACUGCAUGCUUAUCUCACUCGGCCCAUGUCUGACAAUAAGGCUCAUAUUCUUUAGGAUGCUCAAAUGGGUCCAAGGGAAUCCAUUGUACGUACCCAAACUAUCUCAAAACCUUCUUUGAUAGAUAUAACCACAUGUAUAUCCUAACUCCAAUGUAGGCAGGGUACGAUGUCUAGUCGUCAAAAGGUAUGAGGUCUUUGGGUGAUGCAUAUUGGGACCAGACAACAUCAGUCAUCUAUAGCCUAUCCAAUAACUCCCUAGUCCCAACAACCUUGUUAGUACCCCUCAACGGCAUGUUGCGAUGCUUGCGGUCAUGAUCCAACACCUUUUCACUACAAGGAAUGGUCGAAAAAGGCUCAAACACCCAUGCUUGUAAAACAUGAAAUAUAUUUUUAGCAUCAAGUAGUACUAAAAAAAACAUCAAUUAUGUAUACAAAAUUAAAUUGUUCUUACUAUGAGUAGAGUCAUAUAAGCUCACAUAUGUUUGUUGGUAUACUUGUAAGCAUAUGUCAAUUGGUCAUAAAGAUAAGCCAACGUAGUUGCCCCCAAGCGUACUUAUAGCAUCAAUCCAAAUCACCGAGGUACUAGAGGUAGCAGAUGUGUACACUCGUCAAGUUCUUCUCGACAAAUAUGGUAUUGUCAAGCAAAUGCAGAAAAUACACCUUGGCAACCCAAACAAAUGACUCAUUGGAAACGUAACUGUGAUAAGGCUCUCUAACAAACUCAGAGGCACCUUAUUGCUUGAUGACGUUGCAACAUCUACCUCCUGGUCCAUCAUAAUUCCAAGCUCUAACCUUACUAGACCUCUAAUCUCCUUUGUGGCGUAGGUCGUGUCUGUUUGAUCAAGAAAACAAACGAUGAUAGAAAGAUGUAAAAGGCAUGACAAAUAAUUAAGGGUAAUGGUCAUCUCUCUUAUAGAAAGGUGGAAGGAGGAGGUCACACUGUGCCAUCUCUCAAUAAAGACAUUGACUACGCCUUUAUUUGUGGACAUGUACCGCGCAUCAUACAGGCCCUUUAGCCUUGACCUAUCCACGUACCUCUUCAUCAUUGAAUUGGUGGGGUAGUGCAUAACCUUGCCACCAUGGCUGACCAGCUUCAGCUCAUCUUUGGGUUGACUGAUCCAUACAUGGCCAACUAUGUGGUCCUUAUAGGAUCGAAGCAGACUCAAAUACAUAAGACUUCCUCCAAUUGGGGAUUUGAUGAUAUGGUUAGUAGGCGAUAUUUGUGGUUGUUGUGGCUUUGGUUGUGCCUUAGGCUAUGGCUCCGGUUGUGCCUGUGCCUCCGGCUCUUGUCAAGAAGCCUUUGAAUCACAACAUGCUGACAUAGUCACGCGUUGCCUCUGAAACUCAACAUCUGAUACAAAGGCAAUAAGCUUUGUGUGAUCCAUCUAAAAAGGGUAGGAAUAUCAAUUAAACAAUAAAUUAGAUAAUUUAAAAACAAAAAAUUGAUGAAUAACACAACAAAAUCGUAUUUCUGUUAUGGUUUUAUAAAAACAACAUAUCAAAAAUACGAUUUUAUUGUGCUAUUUGAUAAAUAAUACAACAUAACCGUAUUUUAAUUGUACUUUUUUCAAAACGAAAAAAAAUAACACAAUGGAAGUGUGAUUCCGUUGGGUUCUAGGUUCAUAAUCACAAUAGGAUCGUACUUCCAUUGUGUUUUUGUUUUGUUUUGAAAAACACCACAACAUAGUUACGAUUCAGUUGUGAUUUUCAACACAGGACAUAAUGGAACUAGUAUUCCAUUGUAUUCUGGGUUGAGAAUCACAAUGAAAUUGUACUUUUGUUGUGGUGUUUUCCAAAACAAAACAAUAAAACACAACAAAAGUAGGAUUCCGUUGUGAUUCUCAACCCAGAACACAACGAAAUCACACAACUAUUGUGUAUAAAAAAGAAAAAAAAUAACUUAAUAGAGCUCCAAAAUGAGAAAUGAAUGGAGAAGAGAGAAGGGUCUUCGACGAAAAUGAGAAAAUGAAAGGGAGCGGGAAAGAAUGAAGGAAGAGAAUGAGAGGGAGUGGGAUUGAAGGGACUUGGAUGAGAGGAAGAAAAUGAGAAGGAGUGAGUGAGAUAGAGAGAGGGAGAGAAAGAGAGAUGUUUAAGAGGAAGGGGAAAGGGUGGGGGUGAGAAGAAGGGGUGGGCAGAUGCGAAAGGGAAGGGGUGGGGGUAAGGGGAAAUUUCCUUAAGGACAAUUUCAUAUUUCCAUUACCAUUUUCAAAAAUGGUAGUGCCAAUAACAGUGGGAGGUAGUGAGAAUAACAAUUCCCAAAUAAGUGGAUUAUGCAAGCUAGCCUAUGAGCCCACAGAAUACGUCGUCAAGUCCACUGGUUUCAUGGGCCAAACUCAAGUAUUGCCUAUAGUUAUGUGGGUUAAAAAAAGCAGGUUCGUUAUCCACGCGGUCCGCUGGCUUAACGGGCUGACCCACGAACUUAGGCCCAUAUACCCACCUCUAGUGAUGGCGAGAUGAGGACGACAAUGAUAAUGACUACGAUAGCAACAAAAUAGUGAUAGUAGUGAUAUUGAGUGGUAGUAGAAAUAGUGGAGUGACAGUGAUUUCCUAUUUAAACGCCCAAGGUGGCUUUCCUAGUCCAAAAUUCGUUACACUAAAAAAGUGGCUCAAUAGGCCUAGAACGGGUGGAAAAGAAAAGUAAAUUUAAAUAAUAAUUGUAUAAUAUUUUUAUAUUAAAUAAAAAGUAAAUUUAUCUUUUAAAAAAACAUCAUCCCAUUUAAUGGUACAUUGAUAUUUUUUUUUACUUUUAUAUAAAAAAUAAAAUAAAAAAACUAACAAUCCUCCCCUCAGCUUGCUUGUUUUAAAAAAUAAAAUAAAAAACAUCAUCCCAUUUAAAUGAAAUUUGUUUUUAUUUUUAAUUAUUCAAAGACGGUCAUUAUAAUAAGACCGUCUUUGUAUCAGCUUGCUUGUUUAUUAAAGGCGGUUAUUUCAAUAAUCGUUGUUGUCAACUUUUAGAAAAUUACAAUAAUGCCACCGCUAUUAUUUUUACAACGUGUGAUAUUCAACCGUGGUAAGUGUGAUGUCGUAAAAUAACAUUAUUGUAGUAGUGUUAAUAUAUUUUAACUUUAAAAAAAACUUCUGAAUUUUACUUUAUAAAUUACUGGUCAGUAAAAUACAACGAAGGCCUUAGAUCCAUGUUGAAGGAAUGACAAUCGGAGAGUGGAGGCAUAAUCUACUACUCCUACUUUGACACUUUUGCCUGCCAUCAACGACCUUAUUCAGACUCCAGCUUCUUAUGGUACCAUUUUAUACCUACAAUAACAUAUCCAAAUAAGUUCUCAGUUAUCAGCCCUUCCUAUUGUGCUCCUAAGGCUCUUAACUUACAAAUUAACACAAAGAAAGGUGUCACUUAUGACGUAAAGGGUAACCGUGUAUUUUAUAUAAAAGAUACUUUGUUCACAUUUCACGGUCGUCGUGUGUUAUGUGAUGAUAAAGGAAACCCCAUCGUCACUCUAUAUAAGAAGGUAUGUUACUGAUCUAGGAGACAUCUUAUACUCAGCGAUUUUUUUUCUAUUAAUUAAAUUAACUAAAUUGAUAUUAUAUAUUCUUAAUUUUUAUUUUUUAUCAGCAAAUAUUAAUUAUUAAUUUUGGUAGUUUUUUUAGUGAAAUAAAUUUGAAUCCAUAACCUCUCUCUUUUCUUCUUUCUUUAACUAUCAAAUCAAUCUUAUAUAAUUUAGUAUUCUUAAUUUUUGUUUAUAUGUAGAAUGUGACAUUGCACGGGCAAUGCAAAGUUUUCAGGGGUAAUACCUCUGAGUUGCUCUUUUCGGUGAAGAGAUCGUCAAUAAUCCCGAGUGGGAAUAUGCUUAGAUUAGAUGUCUUCCUUGGAAACAAGAGAAAAGGAAGCAUGUGUGAUUUUAGAGUCAUCGUUCGUGGAAGUAAAAAUUCAUGCACUAUUUAUGCCGGUGAAUCUCCAACUAUUGUUGCCAAGGUGUGUAUUGCAUGUGUUCUGGGCAUGUUUUUAUAUACACAUUAAUUUAAUUGCCUAUCUAGUAUGGGUUUGGA
This 32116-nucleotide long non-coding RNA is filed under the name Glycine max (soybean). RNAcentral's name for it is "long non-coding RNA (GMAX_LNC003648)". The record is from RNAcentral. Lineage: Eukaryota; Viridiplantae; Streptophyta; Magnoliopsida; Fabales; Fabaceae.